Molecule: ribosomal RNA, 497 nt
Filed under: uncultured bacterium
Lineage: Bacteria
Description: partial 16S ribosomal RNA
Rfam family: Bacterial small subunit ribosomal RNA
Source: RNAcentral
GAUGAACGCUGGCGGCGUGCCUAAUACAUGCAAGUCGAGCGAACGGACGAGAAGCUUGCUUUUCUGAUGUUAGCGGCGGACGGGUGAGUAACACGUGGAUAACCUACCUAUAAGACUGGGAUAACUUCGGGAAACCGGAGCUAAUACCGGAUAAUAUUUUGAACCGCAUGGUUCAAAAGUGAAAGACGGUCUUGCUGUCACUUAUAGAUGGAUCCGCGCUGCAUUAGCUAGUUGGUAAGGUAACGGCUUACCAAGGCAACGAUGCAUAGCCGACCUGAGAGGGUGAUCGGCCACACUGGAACUGGGCCACGGUACAGACUCCUACGGGAGGCAGCCGUGGGGAAUCUUCCGCAAUGGGCGUAAGCCUGACGGAGAAAAGCCGCAUGAGUGAUGAAGGUCUUCGGAUCGUAAAACUAUGUUAUUAGGGAAGAACAUAUGUGUAAGUAACUGUGCACAUCUUGACGGUACCUAAUCAGAAAGCCAGGGCUAAAUACGUG